Molecule: ribosomal RNA, 359 nt
Filed under: Quasipaa boulengeri (spiny-bellied frog)
Lineage: Eukaryota; Metazoa; Chordata; Amphibia; Anura; Dicroglossidae
Description: partial 12S ribosomal RNA
Rfam family: Bacterial small subunit ribosomal RNA
Source: RNAcentral
CUCACAUCCACCAACGCCAGGGUAUUACGAGCUUUAGCUUAAAACCCAAAGGACUUGACGGUGUCCCAUCCACCUAGAGGAGCCUGUUCCAUCAUCGAUAAUCCCCGCUACACCUAACCACCCCUUGCCAAUCAGUCUGUAUACCUCCGUCGUAAACUUACCAUGUGAGUGCUCACAGUAAGUUUAAUGGCCACCAUCACCAAUACGUCAGGUCAAGGUGCAGCUUAUGGGGCGGCAGGCAAUGGGCUACAAUUUCUAUACUAGAACAAACGAAACGCUGCAUGAAAUACAGCCACGAAGGCGGAUUUAGUAGUAAAAAGAAAAUAGUGUGUUCUUUUUAACUAGGCCCUGGGACGUGU